Molecule: long non-coding RNA, 507 nt
Organism: Labrus mixtus (cuckoo wrasse)
Lineage: Eukaryota; Metazoa; Chordata; Actinopteri; Labriformes; Labridae
Exons: 4
Source: RefSeq, a predicted model, not a curated record
UAGCCUAGCAUGAAGCUAGGAGGCAAGUAGAAACAGCUAGCACGGUUCUGGUUGUAUUGCAGUCAAGACCACAGUAACCAAGACAACCGAGACAAGACCAAGGCCAAGGUAGGUCAAGGCCGAGACAUUUAGGGAUCGGGACCGAGACAAGACCGAGGCCAAGGUAGGGCAGACCGAGAUAUUUAGGGAUCGGGACCGAGACAAGACCGAGGCCAAGGCAGAUCAAGGCCGAGACAUUGAGGGAUUGGGACCGAGUCAAGACCAAGGCCAAGGCAGAUCAAGGCUGAGACAUUUAGGGAUCAGGACCGAGACAAGACCAAGGCCAAGGCAGAUCAAGACAGGGACAUUUAGGAAUCAGGACCGAGACAAGACCAAGACCAAGGCAGAUCAAGACAGGGACAUUUAGGAAUCAAGACCGAGUCGCGCAGUUAGACUGUAACACAGGGAAGGUUGCAGCUGUAACUGGGAGAAAAAAACUGAUUAUGAAUGACUGAAGUUAAUUGUUCU